UCCCAUACGUCACUAGCUCAUGGACUCUUGCUAAUAUGAAAGAAAUGAAUUUAUCAGGUAAGUUCUUACAUAAAUUAUGUUUUUAGGCGAGCAGCUUCAUGCAAUGUGGAGGGUUUACGGUCCCGAACCCACUCUCUAACUCCUGCUGAUAACUUGUCAAAGCAAUGUUCCAACAGGAAUAGCUGCAGCACCUCUUCCCCGGAUACGGCUUGGCACCCCGCCAUCCAGUGAGCUGCUGUGCGGUGCACCUUAUAUGCCCACUCAACGUAGGAAUCACCAGCUAAUUUAACAAUGUCUCUGAACCGCCUCCGGUAUGCCUCCGGUGUAACCGCAUACCUGGAGAGCAGAGCCUCUUUUACAGUAUUAUAAUCCCCGACUUCCUCAUCUGGAAUGGCCCGAAAAGCCUCUCUGGCCCGGCCGGAUAAUUUUCCGGAUAAUAUCGUGACCCAGUCCUCUGCGGGUACCUGGUGUAGUGCACAUUGCCUCUAAAAAUCCGCAAGGUACCCAUCAAUCUCUCCUUCUGUUUCCAGGAAGUUUUUAAAAGCUGCAAAAUUUACUUUUCUCUUUUCCACUGGGGUUGCUGUGACUUGGGCUGCUGCAGCGCCGCUUUAGCGAAGUAGGUUGGCCUCCACAGCUGCUAUGACCCGGUCGAUAAUUUCCGCAGAUGAGUUGGGGCCAUAAUGUGCCAGUCUUAUUUUAACCGCCCGAUCAAAGCUUGCUUCUUCGGGGGUUCUGUCUGAUAUGCUGGGCCCAUUGGUUCCUUCGGUCCCUGGUACUCCUUCCAUCUUAGUCAGUAUUGUAAUAAUCCCCCUCUUCCUGAGGUUACUGGCUUGUGUAGUUGCUCUUCUGGGCGAUAAGGAUCAUCCCGUCGCUUGCCACCAAUGUUACGGUACCAGCAGGAUACCAAGGGUUAAUACCAGAUGAACGAUGUCCUGAAUAUGGGAUCAGCAACUCACAACCCAGCCAGUUCCCCCCUCAAACAUGAGACCAGGCUCCACAUUGAAGGUAAAAACAGAAUGCACUUUAUUGAAGGCUACAUGCCCAGUAUUUAUGCAGGUCUGACCCCAGAUGGGGGGUUGAAAAGAAUAUUGUACAUUAGAUAGAGGGAAAACGCCCUUUGACAUGAUACAAUAGAAUUACAUUACUUAAGCAGAUAAACAAUUUAGUCUUUCUUAUCACUUGGGCGUCUGCUCUCUGGAUGUGAUUAAACAAUGUGAAUGUUUAUCACUAAACUUAAUUACAGUACACAAUAGCUGAGGCUAGCAACCUUGUCUUUAGAAAAUAGCUUCUUAAAGCUGAACAAAGUUAACUCUUUCAGUACUGACAGAAGGGUCUGUCACACGAAUGAUAAAAGCUGCUAACACAGUAACCUUUCAGUCCUAAGGAGAUUCUGACUGCAUAAAGGAACCUGGGGAAAGAGGUAACAAAAAACACAGACAACAAGCUGCAUACAGGAGGGUUUAAAGUGUUGGAUGCUAAAACACAGUGCAAGUAUAAACACAUAAUAAAAGUGGCAUUUCAGUGAGCCUUCAGAGCAGAAGGUGUGAGCCAUGUCUUUUUUUGCGAUCCUCCAAAUAAGGAACAUUACUUAUUUGUGGCUACAGCCCCACUUAAUUUAAACUACAGAGGGAAGACCCCCCUUUUUUAGUUUUACAUGUUUUUAAGAGUGCACACUCUAUAUUGUUAUCAUAUAUGAAUUGUGAUUUUAUGAUUGUAUUUUUAGAAGAUAGAAAUAACUUGUGUUUUAAAUACUGCCUUUUUUUAGCAAAUAGGUUUUAAUUGAAAUAAUUUUUAUUGAAUUUUUGGUAAUCUUACAAAUCUCACAAGAAACCUAUACGAGUUAUAAAUAGGUUGUACAGACAUGUCAACAAGUCAUAUAAUAACAAUCUCUUGUACUCCUGAGUGGCACUGAAAACACAAAGAUACAAACAGAGCUCAGCCUAUCAUGCCCUUCACCCUAAAUGAACCAGUAUGAAAUAAACUAUACCUAACUAGAAACUAUACCCUCCUCCCCCCGCCCCCCCCCUCCCGGUAUUUCCAAGAACUCUAACCAAUAGCAAGUGUACUAAAUGGCCCUAUAUCCAGAGGUUGCUACAGAAAUUGUUAACACUGCAACCACCUCAACUUCCCUCCAUUCCUUCUACCCAUGUAUUUCCCGUGGAGGUCACAUUUAGCCCACCUCUCUCAUAAUCCAAUGAAACAACACUUUUUGGAACUGAUCAGUAGUCCACGCAGCCAACUCUGACAUUGUGUAUGCGUCAUUAAUUUUAUCCAUAACCUCUGUCCAACUUGGUGCACCCACCUUCUAAUGUCUAGCUAUGCAAAUUCGUAAAUAAGUACAAAGAGUUUUAAUGUAUGUGUUAACUGCAGAGUUAAAUGGUUUUACCUUAUCGUUCAGGAGCGCCUGGGCUAUCGUUAGUGUAAUGUGUUCAUUUAUUGUGUUACCCAGCAGCUCCGAAAGCUUCACCCAUAAUGGUUGCAAUUUUGGGCAAUCCCACCACAUGUGCCUGUACGUCCCCGUCUCCUUACAUCCCCUAUAGCAAGUUCCUGGACUUAGUGAUGAGUAGUGCGCUGUCCGUUCAGCCGUACGAUACCACCUGAAGUACAACUUAAUGCAAUUUUCCUUCAUAUCUGCGCUCAACAAUCCUUUACUAGAAUCUAGCAGAAUUUCAUCCCAGGGAAAGGGGUUGUCUCGGUCUAUUAGAUAUGUAUUUAGUGAUAGCUGAUGAUAUCUGCAGGUAAAGGAACCAAUGUAAUUUAUAUGGUUGAAUUCUAUCCUGAAUCUGAAUAAAAGUAAAUACCUUGGUUUUUUCUAAGAAGUCUGCCACCCUGUAUAGUCCUUUGUUUUCCCAUUUCCCAGCUAACUUCCUAAGUUGCAGAGGGAGUAAAAAUUUCAAAGGUAGUGUCCAGGACUGGGAGGGAUAUAUUUUCAAUUUUUGGUUGAUCAUGUGUCACAUAUGUACUUGUUACUGGGGAUCUAUAUGUAGGUGACCUCACUCUCAGUGCGGGGUCCCACAAAACAUCUGCCGGGCUCUCGCACCUCGCUAUAUCUGCUUCUCCUUGGCCAGAUGACCUCCUUUAAAUUUUUCCCCAGAAUGGUAGAUUGUGCCAGCCUUGAGGCUUGGUAAUAUUCUAUCAGGUUCGGGACCCCCCCCCCACCUGUCCAUGUUGUUUCAACAGCUGUGAAGCAAUUCUAGCCUUCCCAUCCCCUUUUAGAAAGCGAAGCAAAUCUGCCUGUAAGGCAUUCAAAUCUGCCAGGGGGACCCCAAUCGGCAGAGCUCGAAAGAGAUACAUAACCCUGGGAAGAACAUUCAUUUUUAUAGCCGAUAGUCUCCCAUACCACGAGAACCUGCCCUUUUUCCAGUUGUUUAGAUCUUUCCUAACCAUUUUAUAAAUGGGUUCAUAAUUUAAUUUGUAUAGGUCUGAGAAAUUACUGUUUAACUUAACCCCAAGAUAUGUAAUGUGAAUUUUUGCCCAUGUCAGAUUAAAAUUCAAUUCAAUCAUUUUCUUUGUAUGAGAGGGGAGACCGACCGGGAGUGCCUCGCACUUGUCUAAAUUAACCUUAUAACCCAAUAUCUCCGAGAACUCCCUUAGAAUAUUAUAGAGAUUAGGUAGAGAGAUCAGGGGUCUGGUCAAUGUUAACAAGACAUUGUCGGCGAAUAAUGUAAGUUUAUAUUCCUCACUUGCCAACUGAAUACCCGAUACAACGUCCGACUGUCUAAUGAGCGCUGCCAGCGGCUCAAUGCAUACAGCAAACAGCGGCGAGAGCGGGCACCCUUGACGGGUCCCAUUUAAAAUAUCUAUGGACUGACAUUUUUUCUGACUAUUCACUCCUAUAACUCUGGAGGUUUUUUUACCAUACUGAUACUUUCCGUUUCCACCAGAAACUAGAUACAUUUGAUGUUUAUUCUGAAUUGUUAUAUGUACAUUUUAUUCUUCCAUAAAAUUUACUGUUAGACACAUGGAUCCAUGUAAUAUAUUUUAUACUUUGUUAAAAUAAAGGAGUUUUAAUUUUAUCAUCCAUAUAUAACACUCUCACUGCCUAUACCACUACCCAUUUAGGUGCUCCUUUUUUGAGUUUCUCUUUUUGCAAUUUUUAUUUGGUGAGCUAGGGCACAUGUUAUUAAGAAGCUUAAGUGGUCACUAUCAUUUAGCUCUGAGUAUAUCUUUUAACAUUAGCAUGAUAAAAAUGUUACUCAACCCUACAGAGUAAGCUAACCAGUGGAUUUCCUUGUUAUCUUCAGUUAUCAUAACAGAGUAUCUCUUCGUCUAGCUCUACCUACUGUGUGCAUUAUACAGUAUUAGCUGGUGUUUUUAAGAGUUUAUAUCUGAUAUCACCAUAAGAGAUACCAUUUAUGACCUAUUUUAAUUCUGGUGUGAUGUAAUACAAAAAAAAAAAGUUGCUCUCUCUGUCUAACUUUUGUGGUUGCAAGGUAGUUUUUCCUUCAUCCCCCAUAGCAGCAAGUUACUAUAUGGUCUUUGGAGCUUGUUCCUUUUAAACCAUAAGUUUUAAUUUUGCAUAGUGAAACACAUUGAAGUGUGCUUUUAUCAUUCAUUAUGCCUACUUUUCUUGUAAUUUUAAUCUGAAAAUGUGUUGGAAUAGCAGGACCAGACAUUCCAUAAGGCAGAGUAGGCUUCUGUCUGAGAGCUAAUCAUAGCAAUGUGUAAUUGUGUGGAGUGGAGUGAUUUAAAACUAAACUUUUAUAUGAAUCAUGUGUAAAAGGAGAGUGGAAUGUUCCACUAUUAAAAUUAAAUACAAAUAAAUGUAAAACCGUGUCAAAAAUACAAAUUGACACACAAACUCCUCCCUGAAUUCGGUGCAGUGAUCAGUCUGCACCGAUAACCAGUCCCCCUAGCAAGUUAAUUGGUGAGCUUUCAAUCCGCAGACUUUGUGAUAGUGUCAAUAUAUCAAGCUAGAAAAACACAGUUAAGUAAAUCAAAUUAAUUGUGAAAAUAAGUAUACUACAAAGUGCGUGUGCACAAUAGCCUGGUUCCUUAAAAAUCACAAAAUGAGAUGUAUAUAUGUAACGAUAGUCUGACAAUUAUUCUAUCUUGGUCAGUAACGGGUAAAGCCAAAAACCGCUACUAUUUCCUUAUUAUACACUGUGAGUCGGGUAUCGACAGUAUAACUAGUAACAGUGUUUAAAGUCUACCCGGUAGAAAUGGUUUAGCUAAAAAUGUAUUCAGUACUGUAGUAGGUACGAAGUAGGUAAAUUAUCAUUGCCCUGUACCGGAAGCAAUUGCCAAAAUGGCACACAGUUUAAGCUAAACCUUUAAAAUCACCAUUGUGAUUUGGAGAGGACAUAGGACCAUGAGGCCUAAUUAUCAAGCUGUCAACUAUGCUGCAUUUGACGGCACCAAUACGCUCAUCUAACAUCGCCUAACAUUGCUGCCGCGGACCUGAAUACGAUCUCAAUAUUUAUUAAAAAAAGCUGGCAAAGAGCCGCGCACCAAGUACGGGGCGAUGAGCAGCGGACUGUUGUUAACUAACAGUCAUCAAUCUCGCUGCUAUUCGGCUUUUCCCCAACUUUAUUUAUACCCUGUCACUAAACACCUCCACUAUACUUAAAAUGUUUAACCCCUAUCCCGCCGCUCCCGGACCUCACCGCAACUAAAUAAAUGUAUUAACUUAUGAUAGUUUUCCUAAAGUUUUAAUUCACCUGUCUUAUCCAGUUUCUACAAAUAUAUUACACUGCGUGAGCUACACUGCAAAUAUACGGCUAGAUUACGAGUUUUGCGGUAAGAGUGAAAAAGCAUCUUUAAGGCUCUUUUUCACUACCGCUGGUAUUACGAGUCUUGCAGGUUUAGGGGCACCGUACACUUUUUUUGGCCGUAACGCAACUUAAUUACAGCAGCUUUCAAAAAGUCAUUUUUCAAUGGACCUUUGUGCCGGUAUUACGAGUCUGCCUGGGAGACCAAAAAGUGAGUGCUACACCCUAUUCCGUCAAGAUCCAUACCGUAAACUGAAAGUCAGUAGUUAUGAGUUUUAAGUUACAAAUCUGUAGCAUAAAACUCAUAACUAAAGUGCUAAAAAGUACACUAAACGCCCAUAAACUACCUAUUAACCCCUAAACCCCUGGCCUCCCACAUCACUACCACUAACUAAACCUAUUAACCCCUAAACUGCCAGCCCCCCCCACAUCGCCAUAAACUAAAUUAAGCUAUUAAUCCCUAAACCUAACAAUCCGAUAACUUUAUAUUAAAAUUACCUCAUCCCUAUCUUAUAAUAAAUUUAAACUUACCUUUAGAAUUAAAUUAAACUAUAUUAAACUAUUUAUUAACCUACCCUAUUAUACUACAAUUACAUUAAACUAACAAUUAAAUUAACUAUAUUACAUAUUUAAAAACCUAACCCUACUCUAGUUAUUUAAAUCUACAAAUUAAAAUGUACUAAAUUACAAAAAAAUAACAACUAAGUUACAAAAAAUAAUUAUACCUAAUCUAAGAGCCUUAUCAAAAUAACGUCCCCCAUAAAUAAAAAAAAACCUAGCCUACACUAAACUACCAAUGGCCCUUAAAAGGGCCUUUUGCGGGGCAUUGCCCCAAAGAAAUCGGCUCUUUUACCUGUAAAAAAAAAAAAAAAAAAACCCCAACAGUAAAACCCACCACCCACACAACCGAACCCCCCAAAUAAAAACUAUCUAAAAAAACCAAAGGGCAUUUGUAUGGGCAUUGCCCUUAAAAGUGCAUUUAGCUCUUUUACUGCCCAAAGUCCCUCUUCUUCCGACGUCUGUUGAAGAAUAAAGUUUCCCUUUAAAUGACGUCAUUCAAUAUGGGUUCCCUUACAUUCCGAUUGGCUGAUAGAAUUCUAUCAGACAAUAGGAAUUAAGGAGGAAAAAAUCCUAUUGGCUGUUGCAAUCAGCCAAUAGGAUUCAGCUUUCAUCCUAUUGGCUGAUCCAAUCAGCCAAUAGGAUUGAGCUUGCAUUCUAUUGGCUAUUCCAAUCCAACCAGUUAUGUAAUUUAGGCAAUAUUUACAUGUCCAAAUACAUCUUAAACAUGCAACCUAAAUGUAGUUUUUAUAUCCUUUUUGUAUACAUAGUACCAUCAGAAAGAUAGUACAGUACUGUAAUCAGAAAGGCAAUUGUUACUGUUUUAAAUAAAUAAAGGCUAUAGUUUUGGAUUUAGAACACAAAAAAGAAACCAAAGACACAGGCAAAGAAGACAGUGACUUACUGGUGGGCAAAAUGGUACUUUUGAAUAAUUUUACUUUAAAAAAGAUAUUAAUGUAAAAUUCUAGAUUUGAGAAAUAUUCUGGAUUUUAGAAUUCCAGAUUUGGGGAUUUAUACAUGUAUGUUGAAAAGGAAGAUUCUUGAUCAUUGGAAGUGCUAAGAUUUAUUUUGCACUUAGCAUUUGAGGUAAGGGAUACAAAUCUAGCCCUGCUAAAUAGGUAUGUUUUUUUUGUUUUGUUUCUUUAUAUGUUAUAAACACAAAAAUAUGCUGUUUAAAUCAAUUUGACUAUUUGUGAACGUUGGCAGAGAAAGGAAGUGAUGCCUUAGUAACAAUAUAUAACUUCUAUGUCUCAUUAAGGUUUAUACAAGUACCCACUGUAGAUCAGUUUAAUAUAUUGCUUUUACAAGUGGCCACUAAGCAGCACUUAAAAUAAACUAUUUUUUAACACCUUGUUUUAUCAAGCCAUGCUUAUACAGCUGUACCGUAACCACAUGUGUGUCUAGAAUGUUUUCCAGACCUUCCUGAUCGAGUAAAUAAGACUGUCACAAUCACAGUUUUUUUCGGCUCACAGAAAAAAAGGUCUUAUACAUAAAAUGGGGCAGUCCAGUUCAAAGUGAUCACUACCCAAUUUAUUUGUACGUUUUUAACAGAUUUUCAGCACUGCUUCUUUCGUAAGGUGGUAAAAGUCCAUUACUUCUGGGAAUUCAGUUCCUAGCCACUAGUAGGAGUUUUGAUACCUUAGGAGGUGAGGUUACCAAUAAAUAUUCUAGAACUUCGGGUGAUCUUAAAAGCUGGCCUAUUCGGAAGAAUGAGUCUCUUCUUCGUAUUUAGUCGGACAAUGUCACGGCUGCAGCAUAUAUCAAUCAUCAAGGACGUACUCAUUGUUCUCUGGCAAUAAAGGAGGUAUCUUGCAUUAGCCAAUAGGCAGAGAACCAUUGUAUAAUUUCUGUGAUUCACAUUCCACGUGUGAACAACAGGGAUGUGGAUUAUAUGUCACCAAACCUUUCUUUUGGGGGAAUGGUCUCUUCAUUCAGAUGUCUUCAAUCAGAUAGUCCAGAAAUUGGGCCUCUUGAUUAAAUCACAAGCUGCCCAUAUAUUUCCGAAGUCCAGGGAUCCUUGUGCGGAGAACAUAGAUGCUCUAAAAGCUCCUUGGUCUUUUCGUUUGGCUUAUUUAUUUACUCCUACUUUUUUACUUCCAUAAGUGAUAGCUUGGAUAAAACAGGAACUGUUAUCAGUGAUUCUCAUAGCUCCAGCUUGGUCUCGCAAAACUUGGUUUGCAGACCUAGUUCAAAUGUCCAGUUCUCUUCCAUUAUUUGUUCCCCUUUAUCCAGACCGUUUAACUGUAGGUUCAUUUUGUCAUCAACAUCUUGAGUCUCUGAACCUGAUGGCUUGGAAAUUGAAUGAGGCAGUAAUAAGUAUUUUGGUUGAAGCAACAAAACCAGUCACUAGAAGAAUGUAUCACAAGACAGGAAAAUUUUUAUUUUGUGGUGUGAGUCACAUAGCUUUAAUUGGUAUUCCUUCAGAGUUCUUCAGUUUUUACAAGAUAAUAUAGAUAAGGGAUUAUUGUCCAGUUCAAGAAAAUUGCUGAACUUCCAGAUAUCCAGAGUUUUGUUCAAACUUUGAUCAGAUUGAAACCCUUUAUUAAACCAAUUUCUCCUCCCUGGAACCUUCGCUUGAUACUACGGGUCCUGCAGGGUCACAUUUUGAACCUAUGCGUUCUCUUGAUAUUUUGUUUCUAUCUUGGAAAGUAGUACUUUUCUUAGCAAUCUAUUCUGCUUAAUGAAUUUCAGAGUUGUCUGCGCUUUCUUGUAAUCCUCCUUAUUUAGUCUUGCAUCAGGACAAGGUGGUUUUGCGGACCAAUUUAGAUAUUUUUGCCAAAAGGUAUAUUGUCAGAUAACAUCAAUAGAGAAAUUGUGGUUCAUUCUCUUUGUCCUAAUCCUCAUAAUUAUAAGGAAAGACUUUUGCAUAAUUUGGAUGUUGCGCAAGCCUUAAAAUUGUAUCUUCAGACCACUAUAAACAGACCUCUAGUUUGUUUAAUUUUUCUGACCUACAUAGGGGACAAAAGGCCUUGGCAGUUACCCUGGCUUCAUGGUUGAAACUUUUAGUUCACAAGGCUUACUUGGAGGCGGGGAAGUCUUACCCAAAGCCUAUUACUGCUCAUUCUAGAAGAUCAGUUUUUUAUUUCCUGAGCUCUCAGGAAUGAGGCUUCAUAGGAACAAAUUUGCAAGGCAGCAACAUGGUCAUCCCUGCAUAAAUUUAAUAAUACAUUUUAUCAUUUUGAUGUUUUUGCUUCAGUGGAAGCAGCCUUUGGUAGGAAAGUCCUCCAGGCUACAGUUUCACGAAAUUAGGUGCUUGCCUUUUUUCUAUGUAUUUCCCUCACUCAUUACUCGUUGACCCCAUAGCUUGGGUAUUAUUUCUCAAAAGUAAUUAACUCAUAGACUCUCACCACCUUACGAAAGAAAACAUAAUUUAUGCUUAACUGAUAAAUUCAUUUCUUUCGAGGUGGUGAGAGUCCGUAAGGCCUGCCUAAUAUAUAUUUUUUGUAAUUUGCUGCCAGCAGUUCUAGUGUUUUUGCACCUAAUUUCCAUUUUCUAUUCUUUCCUAUCUUUCUCCUUCUUGGCUAUACAUAAAACUGGCUUAUCAGUGAUGUGGGAGGGAUAGAGAACUCUUGGAGUUUUGUGAAUCUCCUCCUAGUGGCCAGGAACUGAAUUCCUAGAAGUAAUGAACUUGUGGACUCUUACCACCUCAAAAAAUUGAAUUUAUCGGGUAAGCAUAAAUUGUGGGGGGGGGGGUUUCACUUAUCAAAUUUGACAGCUAAAGGCUCUUAAUAAAAUGCAAAACUGGGUGUUUCAGCAUAUUUCAAGUUGUAUUGGAAUGGAACAGUUAUUUUGCACAUGGCCAAUACAAUACAAUAAAUAUCAAUAAAUUAUCUAGAUUCAUUGAGCCUUUUUUUCAAUCAUCCUUGUAUAGACCAUCACUAGUAGACGUCCUAAAAUUUACAUGUGUUGUAUAAUAGCCAAAUACAUGAUAUCUUCUACAGCAAACAGAUCUGCUGAAAAUGUGAAAAAUCAGCAAUAAUGACUGCAUCUAGAAAAGACUUAUCAGUAAUUUUAAUAAAAUGUUUUGUUUUCAUAUUCACAUUUUAGUAAUAUUAAAGGGGCUGUCUACUUGAAAAUUGUUAUUGUUUUAAAAGAUAGAUAAUCCCUUUAUUAACCGUUCCCCAGUUUUGCAUAACCAACACUGUUAUAGAAAUAUAAUUUUUACCUCUGUGAUUACCUUGUAUCUAAGUCUCUGAAGACUGCACCCUUAUCUCAGUGCUUUUUACAAAUCUGCAUUUUAGCAAAUUAGUGCUGGUUCCUGAAUAACUCCACGGGAGUGAGCACAAUGUUAUCUAUAUGACACACCUAGCACUGUCUAGCUGUGAAAAGCUAAUAAAAUGCACUGAGAUAGGAGCAGGUCUUCAGGGGCUUAGAAACAGGCAGAUAUUUAGAAGUUAUAAAGUAUAUUUAUAUACCAAUGUUAGUUAUAUGGGAAAUAGGUAGUAAAGGUGUUGUUUAUCUUUUUAAACAAUAAAAUAAUCAUGUAGACUGUCCCUUUAAGUUAUAGCAUGUUUGUUUUAUCUUUCGGCAGUCACAUAAUUGUGAGCAAAAUAUUAAUGUUUAGCUUCCUUCUUGUGUGUUGGCUACCAAGAUCAUGUUUUUAAAGGGUUAUUCCGGUCAAAAUUUAAAUGCACAUAGAGGAAUAACAUUUUUCUCUGCAAGUGCACUUGAAGGAUAGCUGUAUAUUCUUAGUACACCAGCAUUUUAAAUACUGCAGCUGUUCUGAGUGCCAGUGGGGCUUUUAUUAUAUUAACAAAUUGAGCCAUUACCAGAUGAUACAAUCACCUUAGGCUCUCUGAGAAAGUGCUGUGUUUAAAAUGCUGGUGCACAAUGCAUUUGAAACAUCUAUGGCUUUUAUUAGAAGCAUUUUGCUAACACAUGUGUAUGACAAAAAUGCUUCUAUUCAAAACUGAAAUGCAUCCAUGUGGAUUCCAAUUUUGGGUGGAAUGUCCCUUUGAUACACACUAAUUUUUCACAUGAAGAUUCUUGUAUAGUGAUCUGUUGUUCUUGAUUGAAGAUGAAAAUCUGACAAUGAUUUCUUCUCAAUGAUUGGAAAAAAAAAUAUUAUUACAGUAAAAACAUUUUGUAUUUUUUUUUUUUUAAAGAUCCGUUAAGCAAACAUGCUCAGUAUAACCCUCCUACAUGCCUAUAUUAAAAUUGCAUUAAUAUUGUUCAACUCAUAUUACAAUGGUUUUGGAACUCAAGAUGUUAAUUUAAAAAUGUUAAUUUUUAUUGUGAAUUAAUUUUAUGUGAUACAAUGUACAAAAAGAUCAAUCCAAACAAUUUUAUUUUUGUUAUAUUGUCAGCUGCCAAAUAGCCUUUGUUAACCUAGAAACUUAUACAUUGGACUUUGUGUUCCUAAUGAUCCAUUUUUAUCUACUAGAGUGUAUUGAAUUGUAUACAAAUUGUUCCUUUACCUUUUUGUUUUGUUAUUUUAAAUAGCUGCAUUUGCCUGUUGUAUCCCCACCUAUAUUAAAUAUUUCAAUGCUUAAACGCUGGUUAUAAAAAAGCUUUGUAAACAAUAAGGUUUAGAAGAAAUUACACUCCCAGUAGUUGGUGAGACAGAGUGAUACUAAAAUGCUGAUUUUCCAUUGUUCUCUCUUAGUAUUGGUGUCACUGUCUAUAGAAAUAUAAAAUAUAUAUACAUAUACAUAUAUACUAAUGAGCCCUGCUUUCCCUGUAAGCUCAGCCUGGUUCAAAAUUAUCAGACCGCUAUUUCAUAUAUAAAAAUGAACAGAGAGGAACGAUUUCUCAUACUUUAAACUCUGCAGCUCGUAUGACAUGUUGUAAACACAUUAAGGGGAAAACAAUUUUACGGUACAUUGAACAGCAGACACUCCCCCCCCCCCCCCUUCAUAUGGAAAUACCCAUUACACAAACAGGAGAUAGCUGAAGUCUGUAGACAUCAUUACUGUAAAUAACAAGCACGCUUGACAAUCUUAUGCUAACCUCUUAUUGACAUUUGUAGUGUUUGACAAUUAUUUUAUUAACAGAAGACCCAUGAAAAGCAGAAGUUAUUUGUAACAAGCUGCAAGUGCAUUGGCUGACAUCGAUCCCUUAUAUAUAUAUAUAUCACGUUUCAUAUACAUAUUCCAACCUAUAGCAUGCCAAUCCUGCUCGUGAGUCUAACCUCAUUACAUUAUUGAAUAUAUUAUAUAAUGCUUCAUAUCAGCUACUGAGCAUGUGUGAAAGGACGAGUAAGGUUGUGGAUAAUGUGUCCUGUUUUAUUUACGUUAAAUUGUAUUGUGAUAAACAGAGAAAAAGUCUGUAUUAAAAAAAAGAAUGCAACUGUACUGCUUGUUUGUUUAUUUUUAUUUCAGAUUUACUCUUAUUUGAAUCAAAUUCGUGCAGGACAAUAGUUUAUUAAUGUACAGUUUGUUUUCAAUGGGUGUGAAGAAGUUACUCGCUGUUUUAUUAUUUUGUUUGUGAUCUUUAAAUUAUUCAAAGAAGAAAUAAAAUAACAUUGUUACCUACUGUA
Molecule: long non-coding RNA, 12747 nt
Organism: Bombina bombina (fire-bellied toad)
Lineage: Eukaryota; Metazoa; Chordata; Amphibia; Anura; Bombinatoridae
Exons: 2
Source: RefSeq, a predicted model, not a curated record